ACAAACCGGAGGAAGGUGGGGAUGACGUCAAAUCAUCAUGCCCCUUAUGACCUGGGCUACACACGUGCUACAAUGGACAGAACAAAGGGCAGCGAAACCGCGAGGUUAAGCCAAUCCCACAAAUCUGUUCUCAGUUCGGAUCGCAGUCUGCAACUCGACUGCGUGAAGCUGGAAUCGCUAGUAAUCGCGGAUCAGCAUGCCGCGGUGAAUACGUUCCCGGGCCUU
Molecule: ribosomal RNA, 225 nt
Filed under: Bacillus subtilis
Lineage: Bacteria; Bacillati; Bacillota; Bacilli; Caryophanales; Bacillaceae
Description: partial 16S ribosomal RNA
Rfam family: Bacterial small subunit ribosomal RNA
Source: RNAcentral